RNAcentral lists this ribosomal RNA (253 nucleotides) under uncultured bacterium. Its description in RNAcentral is "partial 16S ribosomal RNA". It matches the Rfam family "Bacterial small subunit ribosomal RNA", at positions 524 to 776 of the family's 1533-position model. The record is from RNAcentral.
UACGGAGGAUCCAAGCGUUAUCCGGAUUUAUUGGGUUUAAAGGGUGCGUAGGUGGCUUUGUAAGUCAGUGGUGAAAGCCCGGAGCUCAACUCCGGAACUGCCAUUGAUACUGCUUAGCUUGAAUCAGGUCGAGGUGGAUGGAAUAAUACAUGUAGCGGUGAAAUGCUUAGAUAUGUAUUAGAACACCGAUUGCGAAGGCAGUUCACCAGGCCUGUAUUGACACUGAGGCACGAAAGCGUGGGGAUCAAACAGG